RNAcentral lists this long non-coding RNA (377 nucleotides) under Vulpes vulpes (red fox). Its description in RNAcentral is "lncRNA (ENSVVUG00000004352.1)". The record is from RNAcentral. Lineage: Eukaryota; Metazoa; Chordata; Mammalia; Carnivora; Canidae.
UAAAAAAAAGACAGGAGAAAGACAGGAAUAAAGGGAAGAUUAUUCUUUUCUUUCCCCAAACAGGAGAGUCUUCAACAUGCUACUGUGUUGAAUAACCGAAGGAGCCUGGGGAUGGGAGGUCAAGGAUUCGCAGCUGAGAGCAAGUCAUGGGUGGUGCAAGGCCCUGGGGCUGGGGCUGGAGCCCAGGAGAUAUGCCAGUGUCACAGGCUUGCAUGGGAUUGUGUUCUUGACUUCAGGAACAUCUGGACCAGGCUACAGUGGCUGAAAGAUGACAUGUUCUGAAAGGGGAAAUCACUCUAUAUAUAUCUUGAAUUUCCAUUGUCAAAAAACACAGAUGAAUUCAACCAACAACGUGUAUGGAAUAUCACCUAUGCCCA